RNAcentral lists this ribosomal RNA (1259 nucleotides) under Clostridiales bacterium. RNAcentral's name for it is "partial 23S ribosomal RNA". It matches the Rfam family "Bacterial large subunit ribosomal RNA", at positions 1557 to 2925 of the family's 2925-position model. Lineage: Bacteria; Bacillati; Bacillota; Clostridia; Eubacteriales. The record is from RNAcentral.
GAAGACGUGACGUGGAGCGAACUAAAGUAGCGAAGUGUGUGAGCCAGCUGUCAAGAAAAGCCGCUAUUGUUUAUAUGAUACCCGUACCGUAAACCGACACAGGUGGAUGAGGAGAGAAUCCUAAGGCCGACGGAAGAAGCAUUGUUAAGGAACUCGGCAAAAUGACCCCGUAACUUCGGGAGAAGGGGUGCCUCGAAAGAGGCCGCAGAGAAUAGGCUCAAGCAACUGUUUAGCAAAAACACAGGUCUAUGCAAAACCGCAAGGUGAAGUAUAUGGGCUGACGCCUGCCCGGUGCUGGAAGGUUAAGAGGAGAUGUUAGCGCAAGCGAAGCAUUGAAUUUAAGCCCCAGUAAACGGCGGCCGUAACUAUAACGGUCCUAAGGUAGCGAAAUUCCUUGUCGGGUAAGUUCCGACCCGCACGAAAGGCGUAAUGAUUUGAGCACUGUCUCGACAAUGCAUCCGGUGAAAUUGAAAUACCAGUGAAGAUGCUGGUUACCUGCGCCAGGACGGAAAGACCCCAUGGAGCUUUACUCCAGCUUGAUACUGGGAUUCGGUAUUGCAUGUACAGGAUAGGUGGGAGACUGAGAAUUCACAACGCCAGUUGUGAAGGAGUCAUUGUUGGGAUACCACCCUUGCAGUAUUGGAUUUCUAACCAGCCUCAGAAUGGUUGGAAACCAUUCGCAGAGUGCAAAGGCAUAAGAAGGCUUGACUGUGACACCGACGGGUGGAGCAGGUACGAAAGUAGGACUUAGUGAUCCGGUGGUAUAAAGUGGGAUUGCCAUCGCUCAACGGAUAAAAGCUACCCUGGGGAUAACAGGCUUAUCACUCCCAAGAGUUCACAUCGACGGAGUGGUUUGGCACCUCGAUGUCGGCUCAUCGCAUCCUGGGGCUGUAGUAGGUCCCAAGGGUUGGGCUGUUCGCCCAUUAAAGCGGUACGCGAGCUGGGUUCAGAACGUCGUGAGACAGUUCGGUCCCUAUCCGGCGUGGGCGCAGGAUAUUUGAGAGGAGCUGACCUUAGUACGAGAGGACCGGGUUGGACUGACCUCUGGUGUACCGGUUGUUCUACCAAGAGCAUGGCCGGGUAGCCAAGUCGGGAAGGGAUAAACGCUGAAGGCAUCUAAGCGUGAAGCCCCCCUCAAGAUGAGAUAUCCCCCACAAAAGUGGUAAGACCCCUUGAAGACGACGAGGUAGAUAGGUUAGAGGUGGAAGUGCAGUAAUGUAUGGAGCUGACUAAUACUAAUAGGUCGAAGGCUUAUCCAU